Molecule: ribosomal RNA, 517 nt
Filed under: uncultured bacterium
Lineage: Bacteria
Description: bacterial SSU rRNA
Rfam family: Bacterial small subunit ribosomal RNA
Source: RNAcentral
AGGUUUGAUUCUGGCUCAGGAUGAACGCUAGCGACAGGCUUAACACAUGCAAGUCGAGGGGCAGCACGGGAGUAGCAAUACUUGGUGGCGACCGGCGCACGGGUGAGUAACGCGUAUGCAACCUACCUAUCAGAGGGGAAUAACCCGGCGAAAGUCGGACUAAUACCGCAUAAAACAGGGGCACCGCAUGGUGAUAUUUGUUAAAGAAAUUCGCUGAUAGAUGGGCAUGCGUUCCAUUAGGUAGUUGGUGAGGUAACGGCUCACCAAGCCGACGAUGGAUAGGGGAACUGAGAGGUUGGUCCCCCACACUGGUACUGAGACACGGACCAGACUCCUACGGGAGGCAGCAGUGAGGAAUAUUGGUCAAUGGGCGGGAGCCUGAACCAGCCAAGUCGCGUGAAGGAAAGAAGGAUCUAUGGUUCGUAAACUUCUUUUGCAGGGGAAUAAAGUGCAGGACGUGUCCUGUUUUGUAUGUACCCUGAGAAUAAGGAUCGGCUAACUCCGUGCCAGCAGCUGC